GUAUUAAUUAAAUAUAUCAAAGAUUUUAUAUGUUACGUUUAAAAGGAAAAAAAAUAAUACAACUAAGAUCAUAUAACGAUUAUAAUAUCAGGAUCCUUAGAGUCAGGUGGAAGAUUGUUUCUGGUGUUUGAAAGGAGAAGAAAGAAAAAAAGAGAGAAGAAAAAAAGAAAAAGAAAGGAAGGACGAAGACCAGUAGCACGUGCCAACACUCUUGCUCGUUACGAAUCACAUCCUUGUUCUUCGUAGGUACCUGGCAAACUGUCGCUGAAAGUCGUCGUUAAAGUCUCCCGCCCCCGUGUGCAUUCUUGAAACGAAAAUUACAGGGCCAUUGUCAGAGAUCUCUUUUGGUUGGUGCGUUCGCCGAAACAUUUCGCUUGCGUUUGGGUUGCGCUGCAUGCAGCAGUGCUUGCGUGGCCUUCGCAUUUGCUACCACGCGCGCUAAUGAUGCCGGUUAUUAGGAGAACGCCGCUCGAACUUUCGUGCUCGCGAAAGAAAGGAAGGAAGGAGAAGGAUGGUGAUGGAAGGAGAAACGGUCAUUAUCGAGGAUGACUGGCAGGGAGGUCAUCGUCGUCGCUCCAGUCGAACGCUUCUACCGAACUGGACCUUACAAUAUAUUCUCUGGUGUGUACAAAACCUGCCGAAGUCAUUAACGUUUCCAUGAUCAACUUAGUUUACGGAGAAUCGAGACACGUAACUCGAACAAAAGUUUUACGUAUUCAUUUUGGCAUGCUCGUGGAAGGAUUUUCUUGAAACUCGAAAGGAAAAGGGACGAAGAGCAAACGAAACGUUUAAGAUCUUGAAACGAAGUAACGCUUGUUAUAGCGAUUAUAUGAGAAGGAACGUUUAAUUGGAGUACCUCCAGGAAAUGUUGGAAUUAGGAAGAGAAACCUAGCUGAGCUAUGAGUCUCAGCUACGAUAAGAUUCUUGAAAAGGGAUGAGGGUGGUUGGUUGAAGUUGCAUCAGAAACACGAGGGUGUUACCGGAAGCCGGCUUAUCGGCUAAUGUCACUUUAACAUUGUAUCGAGUUAUUGGACGACUCCUUGCGAGCCGAUUAAUUAAGCUAAUUAUCGUUUCCGCACGGAUGGCCACGGUCGGAGAAUACGCUUGGAGACAAAUCGUUUUCGCGUGCACUUCGGAGAAGGCGUUACGCUUCUCGCGUCUCUUGCGAAUCCUUGGAGUAGUAAGAGGAAUCUUCUUUCACGCCUCGUUGCACGAACGCCUAUUAACCUUCCUGAGAUACUGAGAUGCGAUUGUUGACUGUGAAAGAAGGAAGGAAAGAAGGAAGGAAGGAAGGAAGGAAGGAAGAUCGAGACACGGAGUAUCCAUGAUGACAAGAAGGAUCCGGAGAUGAGCAAGAGAGGACGGGAGGGUCGCAUUCCAUCGUUCUGAGAUUUAUUUGCCGAAUAAACGUUGAGGAGGUAUUUUUAAUGGUCGACAAUAGUGGCCCGAUAGUGAUCUCAGAAACGUAUUGUCGUUCGCUGUCGUAUAUAAUCCCGGAGGCAUCGACGCGACCAACAAAACGGCUUCUCUCCCUCUCCUUUUCUUUCUCUGUCUCUCUCACUCUCUCUCUCUCUCUAUCUAUCUCUCUCUCUUUCUUUCUUUCUCUUGCACACGCCAGAUCUUUCCUCGUAUCUCUCUUCCUCGGCUUAUCGAGCACCAAAGAGGAGACGAUCCUUAUUCCUCUCUUCGAUCUUUCGACCUGCGAUUAUUCUCUCUCUUUUUCUUUUUCCUUCUCUCUGAUUCUCUCUCUUUCUCUGUAUUUCUCUCUCUCUCUCUCUCUCUCUUUCUCUGUCUCUCUCUCUUUCUCUAGCUCUCUGUUUCUUUUUUCCUCUUUUCUUUCUUUCGAUCAACUAUCUUCUCUCGUUCUCAUUCUCACCACUUUAACGUGCACUACUCACCUGCCGAACCCUUUUGAAGUCGACUCUUUUGUAAAUCGACGUUAUUAUUCUAAUUGAAUACUUGUCUCCCGGAGGGAUAUCUCUUCUCGCCAAAGGUUACUAUGUACUUACAUACAAUAUACCGCGUACCGAUUAAAUUGAGACUAAUGUAAAGAGAAAUCGUGCCUUUUCUAUCUUUUCUUCAUUCAUUCUUUUAUUCCCUUUUCUCAAAUAUAAUAUGUAUACCUCA
Long non-coding RNA from Vespa velutina, 2127 nucleotides. RefSeq lists it as uncharacterized. NCBI's taxonomy places the organism in Eukaryota, Metazoa, Arthropoda, Insecta, Hymenoptera, Vespidae. The record is from RefSeq and is a predicted model, not a curated record. The transcript is spliced from 3 exons.